CAGUCAAUGUGUUGUAAGUCGCUCUGGAUAAGAGCGUCUGCUAAAUGACUAAAA
This is a non-coding RNA of Salmo salar (Atlantic salmon), 54 nucleotides long. The record is from Rfam. NCBI's taxonomy places the organism in Eukaryota, Metazoa, Chordata, Actinopteri, Salmoniformes, Salmonidae.